AUAUUUUAGACCGUUCUUCUUUACAAGUAAAACUAAAAUGGCGUCAGCUGGAGAAAACACUGGUGGUACAACGGAGUCUUCAACUCAAAGUCCUUCUGUGAGUCAUCUGGAGGAUCUUGAUGGGCGGAUCUCCGAAAGAGAAGAGCAGAUGGAGCUCUGCACUAUGAUCCUGAACGACCUGCUGGAAAUUCAGAAAAUAGUUGCUAAAAGAGGACUUGAAAAUACAACAUUUAAACCAGAUAACUGAGCUGCUUGUUAAAUUAUGAUCUGAAACUUCUGCGUAUGAAUAAAGUCUUGAAAUGAAUUCUUGAUAUUAA
Molecule: long non-coding RNA, 317 nt
Filed under: Danio rerio (zebrafish)
Lineage: Eukaryota; Metazoa; Chordata; Actinopteri; Cypriniformes; Danionidae
Description: uncharacterized LOC100535213, transcript variant 1 (LOC100535213)
Source: RNAcentral